GGAAGGGAGGAAGCGUAGAAGGUGCCGAUGCACUUUUCCUCUCUCCAGCCCUCCUGACUGCUCCAAGAAUUUCAUCGAACAAGACUCAAAGAGGCCCAGCUGCUCUGCGUUUUGAUUCUUCUCCCUCUCUCAGUCCACACUGACCUGGGAGGGGCUUCUCAAACACCACAUUUCCUAGCAUGCUGUGAGAAGAGGACUGUGAGCUAAGAAGGGAGAAAAGCCAAAUAAAAACACAGACAAACCAACCAACCAAGCACUGACGAGCCAGUAAAGAGGGAACUGUGGGGGAAUCAGGGCUGAGAGAAUCUCUGAUACAGCAGCGGAAAUAGGCACUCCCUCCUCAUCAACAAACACCUGACCUGGGUAGACCCUCUGCUUACCAAGAUCCAGUCCACCUUUUGACAUCAGCAUUCAUGCUGCCUCUUUUUACGAACCAAGCCAAAGUGGUCCCUUCCUCUGGAAAUUAUAGGAUACUUAAUGUACAUCAUAUCCAGCUUCCCGACUCCAGACUGUGGGAGAUGACACAGAGCCAGCCUGCCUGGAUGUGACUCAGCUCUGCAACUUAUUAAAGACCUUUGGCAAAUCACCUAA
This 591-nucleotide non-coding RNA is filed under the name Pan troglodytes (chimpanzee). Lineage: Eukaryota; Metazoa; Chordata; Mammalia; Primates; Hominidae. The record is from RNAcentral.